AGAGUUUGAUCCUGGCUCAGAUUGAACGCUGGCGGCAUGCCUUACACAUGCAAGUCGAACGGCAGCACGGGUGCGUAACACGUGGGCAAUCUGCCCUCCGAUGGGGAAUAACCCCGCGAAAGCGGGGCUAAUACCGCAUAACAUUCCUUGAGCGAUGGUUUGAGGAUUCAAAGCAGUGAUGCGUCGGAGGAGGAGCCCGC
Molecule: ribosomal RNA, 200 nt
Filed under: uncultured bacterium
Lineage: Bacteria
Description: partial 16S ribosomal RNA
Rfam family: Bacterial small subunit ribosomal RNA
Source: RNAcentral